This 480-nucleotide ribosomal RNA is filed under the name uncultured bacterium. Its description in RNAcentral is "partial 16S ribosomal RNA". It matches the Rfam family "Bacterial small subunit ribosomal RNA", at positions 28 to 506 of the family's 1533-position model. The record is from RNAcentral.
GACGAACGUUGGCGGCGUGCUUAAUACAUGCAAGUCAACUGAAGCAGUGGUAGCAAUAUCGCUGUGGAGGUGGCGCACGGGUGAGUAACACGUAGGUAAUCUGCCUUCAGGUCUGGCAUAACUCCGGGAAACCGGGGCUAAUAGCAGAUGAUGCAGCGGCUCGACAUCGAGACAGUUGUUAAAGCUAUGGCGCCUGAAGAUGAGCCUGCAUCUGAUUAGCUAGUUGGCGGGGUAACGGCCCACCAAGGCAACGAUCAGUAGCUGGUCUGAGAGGAUGAUCAGCCACACUGGAACUGAGACACGGUCCAGACUCCUACGGGAGGCAGCAGUAAGGAAUAUUGCUCAAUGGGAGAAAUCCUGAAGCAGCAACGCCGCGUGAGGGACGAAGGGCUUUUGCUUGUAAACCUCUGUAGUGAGAGAAAAAAAUCCCAAUCUUUGGGACAUGAUGGUAUCUCAAAAGUAAGCCCCGGCUAACUACGU